RNAcentral lists this ribosomal RNA (404 nucleotides) under uncultured bacterium. Its description in RNAcentral is "bacterial SSU rRNA". It matches the Rfam family "Bacterial small subunit ribosomal RNA", at positions 355 to 775 of the family's 1533-position model. The record is from RNAcentral.
UAGGGAAUAUUGCACAAUGGGCGAAAGCCUGAUGCAGCAACGCCGCGUGUGCGAUGAAGGCCUUCGGGUUGUAAAGCACUUUUGAUCGGGAAGAGGAAGGACGGUACCGGUCGAAUAAGCCUCGGCUAACUACGUGCCAGCAGCCGCGGUAAAACGUAGGAGGCGAGCGUUAUCCGGAUUUACUGGGUGUAAAGCGCGUGCAGGCGGUAGGCUAAGUUGGGUGUGAAAGCUCCUGGCUCAACUGGGAGAGGUCGCUCAAGACUGGCCAACUGGAGAGCAGUAAGGGAAGGUGGAAUUCCGGGUGUAGUGGUGAAAUGCGUAGAUAUCCGGAGGAACACCAGUGGCGAAAGCGGCCUUCUGGACUGCAUCUGACGCUCAGACGCGAAAGCUAGGGGAGCAAACGG